This 881-nucleotide ribosomal RNA is filed under the name Squamanita mira. Its description in RNAcentral is "partial large subunit ribosomal RNA". It matches the Rfam family "Eukaryotic large subunit ribosomal RNA", at positions 81 to 947 of the family's 3401-position model. Lineage: Eukaryota; Fungi; Basidiomycota; Agaricomycetes; Agaricales; Squamanitaceae. The record is from RNAcentral.
UAGUAACUGCGAGUGAAGCGGGAAAAGCUCAAAUUUAAAAUCUGGCAGUCUUGAGGCUGUCCGAGUUGUAAUCUAGAGAAGUGUUAUCCACACUGGACCAUGUGUAAAUCUAAGUCUCUUGGAAUGGAGCAUCAUAGAAGGUGACAAUCCUGUCUUUGACAUGGACUACCAGUGUGAUGUGGUGCACUCUCAAAGAGUCGAGUUGUUUGGGAAUGCAGCUCAAAAUGGGUGGUAAAUUCCAUCUAAAGCUAAAUAUUGGCGAGAGACCGAUAGCGAACAAGUACCGUGAGGGAAAGAUGAAAAGGACUUUGGAAAGAGAGUUAAACAGUGCGUGAAAUUGCUGAAAGGGAAACGCUUGAAGUCAGUCAUGUUGAAUGGGAAUCAGCCCUGCAUUUCUGCUGGGUGCACUUUUCCAUUUGACAGGUCAGCAUCAGUUUUGGCCAUUAGAUAAAGGCUUAGGGAAUGUGGCAUUUUAUAAUGUGUUAUAGCCCUAGGUUGUAUGUAAUGACUGGGAUUGAGGAAUUCAGCAGAUUGUAAUAAGUGUUACAUCUGCUUAGGAUGGCUGACAUAAUGGCUUUAAUCGACCCGUCUUGAAACACGGACCAAGGAGUCUAACAUGCCUGCGAGUAUUUGGGUGGAAAACCCAUAUGCGCAAUGAAAGUGAAAGUUGAGAUCCCUGUCAUGGGGAGCACCAAUGCCCGGACUUGAAGUUUUCUGACAGUCCUGCGGUAGAGCAUGUAUGUUGGGACCCGAAAGAUGGUGAACUAUGCCUGAAUAGGGUGAAGCCAGAGGAAACUCUGGUGGAGGCUCGUAGCGAUUCUGACGUGCAAAUCGAUCGUCAAAUUUGGGUAUAGGGGCGAAAGACUAAUCGAACCAUCUAG